RNAcentral lists this ribosomal RNA (137 nucleotides) under Helicobacter pylori. Its description in RNAcentral is "partial 16S ribosomal RNA". It matches the Rfam family "Bacterial small subunit ribosomal RNA", at positions 1396 to 1533 of the family's 1533-position model. Lineage: Bacteria; Pseudomonadati; Campylobacterota; Epsilonproteobacteria; Campylobacterales; Helicobacteraceae. The record is from RNAcentral.
GUCACACCAUGGGAGUUGUGUUUGCCUUAAGUCAGGAUGCUAAAUUGGCUACUGCCCACGGCACACACAGCGACUGGGGUGAAGUCGUAACAAGGUAACCGUAGGUGAACCUGCGGUUGGAUCACCUCCUUUCUAGA